Molecule: long non-coding RNA, 608 nt
Filed under: Microcebus murinus (gray mouse lemur)
Lineage: Eukaryota; Metazoa; Chordata; Mammalia; Primates; Cheirogaleidae
Description: lncRNA (ENSMICG00000048799.1)
Source: RNAcentral
GGAAAGCACUCAGUUAGGCACACAUGAGGCGCUCAGUAGGCAUUGGACUUGGUGCAGAGGAGCUCCUGAAUGCUUUUGGACCAUUUUCUGCCCAUCUUCACCUCUUCCUACAUUGAUGCUAACUCCAGCCCUCCCCAAGGAGGCUCAGGCCAGGGAUUCCAAUUUCCAAAGCAGCCAUGAUGUCCCAGUUAGAGCCAGCAGAGGAACUGUGGAUGUUGCAAACAGAAGUGCGGUGGGGCUCCCAUGCAGGUGAGUGAGUGAACGCCCGGUAAAUCAGUACCCGCUGCUCAGUGAAGGCAUGCACAGUCUCUUUCAAGCUCUGCUAGUGAGCGUGGUUUGCUAUUUAUUUCGUGUCACUCACGGGAGACACUCACACCUGAUCCAUUCAUAGAGUGGAAAAUGAUUAUUUGGAAGCCAUGAAUUGAUCUGGGGUUUGCAAUUCCAGUUCUGAGAAGGAAAAUGAACAUUUAAAGGAUUCCAAAUAUUGUGUGGGCUUUUUGUUGGUCUCUGUUACCUACCCACAUUCAGAAUUCAUCGUUAUACAUGAGAUGUUCCCAAUUGCAUUCUCCUUCACAGGACAUUUCCAUUCCGAUUCAAAAUAUAGCACG